GGAUUGUGGCUCAGCGGUAGAGCCCUCGCCUAGCAAGGGUGGGACCCGGGUUCGAUCCUCAGCACCA
RNAcentral lists this transfer RNA (67 nucleotides) under Marmota monax (woodchuck). RNAcentral's name for it is "tRNA.Ala". The record is from RNAcentral. Lineage: Eukaryota; Metazoa; Chordata; Mammalia; Rodentia; Sciuridae.